GCGAAUGUAAUUUAAUGGUAAAAUGCCAGCUUGCCAUGCUGAUAAUGGGGGUUCGAUUCCCCUCGUUCGCU
Molecule: transfer RNA, 71 nt
Filed under: Mycoplasmopsis fermentans PG18
Lineage: Bacteria; Bacillati; Mycoplasmatota; Mycoplasmoidales; Metamycoplasmataceae
Description: Mycoplasma fermentans PG18 tRNA
Rfam family: tRNA
About the family: Transfer RNA (tRNA) molecules are approximately 80 nucleotides in length.
Source: Rfam by way of RNAcentral